UCCUGGUUCCAGUCUCAAAUUCUACAUUUUUGAUUAGAGGUACCACUAGACCAGUCUUAAAAUGGGAUUCAUUUUGAGUACUCUCUAUUUUUGUCCCUUUUGUUCAGUCUGUUUGAAGUCCUACUGUUUUCUUCCUUUGAAAUAUUCCCCAAGAUUUAUCUCUUAGUGUCCAUUCAGCCUCCAACCUUGUGGGCAUGGUUCAUACCACUUCAUAACUGGAUUAAUAAAAUUCUUAUUUAACUUCCCCAACAAUCUCCUUUUGUUCUGCUGACAAACCUGAACAACUUCCAAGCCAGCACAAUUCAUGUAGCUAUUAAUUUGCAACCCUGUAAAGAUCACACAGAGAACAGGAACAGAAACAUCACCUCUGUGCCACAGGACUGAUUGGGAAUCUCUGAACCUCAGUUUACAGUGCUUUCCUGUUGGAGAGGCAGCAUGGCAUAAUGGCUAGGACACUGGAUUUGGUACCAGCAAAACCUGUGUUCAGAUCUUUCCUUGGACUGGGCAAGUCGCUCUUUGUGCCUCAGUUUCCUCAUCUUCAAAACUGGAGUUUGGACUCUGACGUGAACUAAGAAUCUAGUUGGAAAUUCAAGACAUCGACAUAAAAUUUUAAAACAUUGGAUAUUUAAACAUAAAAAAUAUUUAGGUAACAGUGCAAGAGAAUAUUGGUUGACAAAAUGGUUGAUGUAACCAAUAAGCAAGCAUUUAUUAAGCAUUUUCUUUAGGCCAAGUACUGUACUAUGUUGUAGGGAUUCAAAGGUGGACAAAAACAGUUUCUGACUUCAAGGAGCCUAAUAGGGGAGAAAACAUGUACAUAAGGUAUAUUUUGGUAAGCAUGUAAAAAUACAUGAGGAGUGGAUGGAAAUCAACCUUAGAUAGCAAGGCUUUAGCAGUUGGGGAGACUGGAAAAGGCCUCCAGUAAGAGGUGACUAUUGAGCUGAGAAGCCAGGGAUUUUAAGAGGCAGAAGUUAGAAGGCAGGAAUGGCCAUUGCAAAGGCUCAGAGAUGGGAGAUAGAGUGUCAUGUUUGAGGAAUAGCAAAUAGGCCAGGAUUACUAGGGAGAAGAUUGUGUAGAGGAGACUGAUGUGUAAAAAGAUUGUAAAGGUAGGAAAGGGCCAGGCUGUGGAUGAAGCACUUCAUAUUUGAUUUUGGAAGUAAUAGGGAACUUCUGGUUUUAUUGGGGGUGGAAGUAUAAGGUGUUGCGGCAUGGUUAGAACUACACUUUAGGAAAAUCACUGUGGUAGCUGUGUGACUGGAGUGGAAGAAUACUUGAAGCAAGGAGACCAAUUAAAAUUAUUGUAGUAGUAUAGGUCAGAGGUGGUGAGGACCUGAAUUAUGGAGAUAGCUGUAUGAGUCAUUGUGAAGGUAAAAAGGAUAAAGAUUUAGUAACUAAUUGGAUACAUGGACUAGUGAGGGUAAGGAGCCAAAGAUGACACAGACCUGGAGCUUGUGAGACUGGGAGGAUGGUAAUGUCCUUGCCAAUAAUAGGAGAGUUUAGGGUUUUGAGGAAAAUAUACUUUUAUUUUGGAUGUAUUAAGUUUAAGAUGCUCAUGGGACAUCUACUAAAAAUGUCGGUGAUGUAGUACUAGAGCUCAGGAGAGAAACCAGGGCUGGAUAUAUAGAUCUGGGAAUCUCCAUAUAAAUCAUUCAAAGGGAUCAAUUCAGGAGAUGUUUUUGAAUGUCUUUUGCGUUCAUAAUCUUGUGCUACAUUCUAUGGGCAAUAUAAAGAAGAACAAUACAUAAUCCUUGCCCUAAUGGAGCUUGCAGACUUACAAGUAAUCUUAUGUGAACAGAUACAGCUGUCAUACAGUGCAUAAUGUUAAAAGAAAAUGGAAGUCUGUGGACUAAAUUGGGCAUAGAGUGUUUUUUUUUGUUAGUAGAACAUAAGCUGAACACCAAAGGGUAUUUAGAAUUGGAACAUUUGAAGAGGAAGGGAAGAGCAAGUUUCAAAUCAGGAGUCAGGAAUGACCAUUGUAGGAUGAUUAGGAUACUGACUUGACUAGGGAGUAGAGUACUUGUAGAAGAAUGGAAUAUAAAUUUCAGUAGGGAUUUGGAGACUUUGUUUUGUGAUGUUCACAGGCUGAGGAUUGUGGACUUCAUCGUUUAGCUUUUAAAGGUUUUGUAAAGAGACAUGACAUUAUGCUGUAGUAGAAAGAGUGUUGGAUUGGGAAUCAGGAGAGACCUCGGCUGAAAUUCUACUCCGACAUUUACAAGUUGUAUGACUAGGUUUCAGUUUCUUUAUCUGUGAAAUGGGGUUAUUAAUAGCUCAGGAUUAUUUUGAGGAUCAAGUGA
This is a long non-coding RNA of Trichosurus vulpecula (common brushtail), 2291 nucleotides long. RefSeq lists it as uncharacterized. NCBI's taxonomy places the organism in Eukaryota, Metazoa, Chordata, Mammalia, Diprotodontia, Phalangeridae. The transcript has 3 exons. The record is from RefSeq and is a predicted model, not a curated record.